GACGAACGCUGGCGGCGUGCUUAACACAUGCAAGUCGAACGGAAAGGCCCCUUUGGGGGUACUCGAGUGGCGAACGGGUGAGUAACACGUGAGUAACCUGCCCUUGACUUCGGGAUAACUUCAGGAAACUGGGGCUAAUACCGGAUAGGAAUCCUUGCUGCAUGGUGGGGGUUGGAAAGCUUCGGCGGUUUUGGAUGGACUCGCGGCUUAUCAGCUUGUUGGUGGGGUAGUGGCUUACCAAGGCUUUGACGGGUAGCCGGCCUGAGAGGGCGACCGGCCACAUUGGGACUGAGAUACGGCCCAGACUCCUACGGGAGGCAGCAGUGGGGAAUAAUGCACAAUGGGCGGAAGCCUGAUGCAGCAACGCCGCGUGCGGGAUGACGGCCUUCGGGUUGUAAACCGCUUUCAGCAGGGGCGAAGCUUGUGGUGACGGUACCUGCAGAAGAAGCACCGGCUAACUACGUG
RNAcentral lists this ribosomal RNA (465 nucleotides) under uncultured bacterium. RNAcentral describes it as "partial 16S ribosomal RNA". It matches the Rfam family "Bacterial small subunit ribosomal RNA", at positions 28 to 507 of the family's 1533-position model. The record is from RNAcentral.